GGGUCUCGAGCACGGAAUUGCUGAAGUUGUGAAGGUUGAUGCUGUGAAUGCGCUCGGUCAUCCCCUUGCAACUGAUGUCACCUGCAGCAUGUCAACGCAGACACAAAACAGGGCAUGGGUCAGAUCUAGCUGGUUGCAUUCCUAAUACCUAGGUUUCAGAGUAAAAAUAUAGAGUCAGCUUGUGAUGGCAUUCCCUCGAAACAUGGAAGGAAUUGCAGUAAUGAAAGUCAUCAUGUAUUCUAAGAGACUGUUCUGCGAGAGCACAACACAGACGGGGCUAAAGCAGGGAUUGUCUAAGCCCAGUGUGGAGGAAUCAUCAAGGAUUUCAGCACGUUUUUUUAGCCAUUGUACAGUUUGUGAAAAUUAAGUUUUACUCUGUGAAUAAAGAAUGGG
This 393-nucleotide long non-coding RNA is filed under the name Pan troglodytes (chimpanzee). RNAcentral describes it as "long non-coding RNA NONPTRT011525". Lineage: Eukaryota; Metazoa; Chordata; Mammalia; Primates; Hominidae. The record is from RNAcentral.